RNAcentral lists this long non-coding RNA (1778 nucleotides) under Bemisia tabaci. Its description in RNAcentral is "lncRNA ENSSSA2NGG007483". Lineage: Eukaryota; Metazoa; Arthropoda; Insecta; Hemiptera; Aleyrodidae. The record is from RNAcentral.
CGUAGCUUUCCAGUGCUAAUGGAAAAUGAAUUGGGAAAAUGACAUUCCCAGUUCUCAUGCACCGCACUCAGCAUCCAGAAGUGUUGUGACGAUUCGCAUAUUUUGUUGACCGUCUUGUAACCCGUGCAAGUGCCACGUAUCAAAAAGUUUUUCCGAAUUCCCUCUACGGAAAACAAUUUAAAAUCGGUGGAAAUCUCUCAGUGACGUCAGUUAGUUUUUCACUCUCGCAGUUCAAUUAUCAGCAUACACGCUUCGAGAUCCAGACGGUGUUGAAAAAAUGUCACUCGGUCGCAUGCUGUUAUCACGCGAACAGGUUUAUUUUAUCAUUGAUUUUUGAUCGAUUUUAAAAGAAUCGAUUGGAAGUGAUCGCUAUUUGGUGAGAAGAGUGUAACGCGGCAAAUGGUAAAGAUAACAUGGCUACUUCUCGCGGCGAUUGCUUGGCAAAUGCCUUGGUUCUGCUUAUCGAUGAGGUCAUUUAAUUCAUGGGUAUCAUCAAACAGUCGACGACGGUCGCCCUCUCGGGCAAAUGUAAAUCCGAGCCCCUCUAGCUCUGGGUCUGGGUCUGGGUACUUCAGAAGGAUAUUCUCAGGCCUCUCUCGGACAGAGAGUCAAAUGAUGCAAGCUCAAACCCAGCCGAAUGUGCCAUACACGUUACCACUACUACCAUUCAACUGGAGGAAAAUCAAUAAAAUCAAAAUAACUGGCGGUGACGUCAUCGUUUGCGGAAGGAACCAGGCUAUCCCUACCUUCAAGACCCACUGGUUAUUGGCCGUGAACGGGUACGAGCUGGUGCACGCCAUCAAGAACCAAAUUUACAUAAAUACCGGUCAAAUAACCAUUGACAAUAAGCUUACUUUACCGGGAAAGUACACCUACAUUGAUUGCAAUAAUUGUAAAAACCUCGGCAACAGAGGUAUCUCCGGUGAAGAGCUCGCUGCUGUCACGGAGAGGGCGUUCAAAUGGCUCUUUAAAUACACGUUCUUCGACUCUGACUCCUGCUCAAGUUACCACUGGGUCAUGUACUGGGUGUCAGGGAGUCCUCCAACCCCACGGCGGUCCCUUCUGCCGGGCUUUAGCUCGUCCAUGCAUCGUUACUGCCGGCUCAACACCAUCCUCACCGACCCGGAACCCAGGGAAAUGACCCUAGACCAGAUAAAUUUCGCCUUGGUCGGAACUAUGGAUGCUUUUAAUCUCGGCUGGGGCCCGGACACUCAAGGUCCUUGAUCUAGACUCGUUUCAAUCAACGGAAUUUAAUGUGAUGGAGAUAAUAACGGAAGUAAAACGGCAACUCAAACUUCAAUACUAGCAAAUAAUGUGUAAUUAAAAAAAAAAAAUAAACAGCAAUGACAUGAAAGUAGUAAAGUGCACAUCCAACAUGUCAGUUAUUCGGCACCCUUUUCCAACAUCCUCAUGUUGGAUCUGUCAUCUUAUUUUUCUUCAUUUAAAAAAAAAAAAUAAAAAAUAAUGAAAUAAGUCACACUGUCAUCAAGAGAUCAAUUCAUAAAAUAACAAGUCGUACUUAGUUAUCUUUGUAAUUUUCCUCCCUUUGGUAAUUUUAGUUUUUAUUAGUUCAACUGUUUUUAUUAGUUCAACUUAGUUGUAGAAGUUCAACUGUGAUCAGCAUGUAUAAAAUAUCUAAGAUGAAAUUUGUUGGUUGGACUUUACAUCACAACAUAGACCCUUCAAUUUUGAAGAUACCACAAGGACAUCCAACAAGCACGAAUAGUUGCAUGAACCUGGCGUUAUGAAGGGGCGUUGUUUACCUAGGUACUUUAAAU